GAUACGCUGGACGGUUCACCGGAAAUUUCACCGCUACAGCCCACAAGUAAUAAUCUACUCUCCGACUGGCUUACCUGGCUUUUCCAGAUUGGCCAUACCGCCCUCGUGCCUGGUUUUCCAAGCGACGUCGCCGAGGUGCCCUCUGAUGCUUUAAAUACGGUGUGCUGUGCGGUCUUCUGCUCAUUCGACAGCAGCAGCGGCGGAGUGCACGCAUCCGACUGAAGCCGUUUCUGCAAUGUUUUUGCAGCUGCAUAACGCAAGCAUUUUUACCAAGGAAACCGCUUCAGUGGUACCACGGAGGCCGAAGAAUUCCUUGGUCCCGUCCUUGUGCUUGGUAUCUAAUCCAGGAGAGCUGUCUUUGCGUUGCCAUCGCUUCGCCAAUGACCUGUCUAUAUCCAAGCUUUUUCCCAUCCUAUGAAACAUUCAUCAUAGAUUAGGGCGCCGAUCUUCAUUAUUUAUGGAAAAGCUGCAAGGGCAGCUGACACCCGUUUUGUGGGCCGUGAAGACUGGUGCGCUGCAAAGUAAUAUGGUAAUAAAGCCGAGUUCCAAAUGUU
Molecule: long non-coding RNA, 554 nt
Organism: Dermacentor andersoni
Lineage: Eukaryota; Metazoa; Arthropoda; Arachnida; Ixodida; Ixodidae
Source: RefSeq, a predicted model, not a curated record